RNAcentral lists this ribosomal RNA (120 nucleotides) under Neogale vison (American mink). The record is from RNAcentral. Lineage: Eukaryota; Metazoa; Chordata; Mammalia; Carnivora; Mustelidae.
GUCUAUGGCCAUACCACCCUGAACGCGCCCGAUCUUGUCUGAUCUCGGAAGCUAAGCAGGGUCGGGCCUGGUUAGUACUUGGAUGGGAGAUUAUAUUACUAAUCUAAUAUAAUAUAGUUA